Molecule: non-coding RNA, 611 nt
Filed under: Pongo abelii (Sumatran orangutan)
Lineage: Eukaryota; Metazoa; Chordata; Mammalia; Primates; Hominidae
Source: RNAcentral
GCAAGGCGUGGGGCGCUAUGGGGCUGCGCAGUGCCUUAACGAUUCCCGUUUCACGGAUGAGACGACUCCGGCACAGAGAAGUCAGAGGGCCUGUCCUGGGUCACACAGCCACAGGCGGCCCCAGAACGGGACUUCAGGGUACACCACUGCACCCCAGCAGAGGCCUCUGCCUGGCACACAGGGAAUGCUGGAGCAAUACUUGAAUAAGAACAUACAGUGGCAUAAGAGAGACCAACUUGGUGAUAACUGAUCAUAGGAUUAGACCAAGGUGCAGAAGCAAACAGAACCUCCAUAAAAUGUAAUGAUGUCUCGUGCCUGCAAUCCUAGUGCUUUCAGAGGCCAAGGCGGGAAGAUUCCUUGAGCUCGGGAGCUCAAGACCAGCCUGAACAACACAACAAGACCUCGUAUCUAUUAAAAAAUAAAAAUAAUAAAAUUAGCUGCACACCUAAUUGGUGGCACACACCUGUGGUCCUAGGUACUCGGGAGGCUGAGAUGAGAUCAUUUGAGCCCAGGAGAUCAAGGCUGCAAUCAGCUAUGAUCAUGCCACUGCCCUCCAGCCUGGACAACUGAGCGAGACCCUGUCUCCAAAAAAAAAUAAAAUUAAAAAAAAA